This 263-nucleotide ribosomal RNA is filed under the name uncultured bacterium. Its description in RNAcentral is "partial 16S ribosomal RNA". It matches the Rfam family "Bacterial small subunit ribosomal RNA", at positions 1238 to 1500 of the family's 1533-position model. The record is from RNAcentral.
CUAAAAGAGAAGCAAAGCCGCGAGGUAGAGCAAAUCUCAAAAAAAACAUCUCAGUUCAGACUGCAGGCUGCAACUCGCCUGCACGAAGUCGGAAUUGCUAGUAAUCGUAGGUCAGCAUACUACGGUGAAUACGUUCCCGGGCCUUGUACACACCGCCCGUCAAACCAUGAGAGUUGGCAACGCCCGAAGUCGGUAGUCUAACCGCAAGGAGGACGCCGCCGAAGGUGGGGUUGAUGAUUAGGGUUAAGUCGUAACAAGGUAUC